GUCGGGUGUGGUGGUGCAUGCCUGUAAUCCCAGGAGAUCUAGAGACUGAGACAGGCGGAUCACAAGUGCAAAACCAGCCUCAGCAAUGGCGAGGUGCUAAGCAAUUCAGUGAGACCCUGUAUCUG
RNAcentral lists this small RNA (125 nucleotides) under Marmota monax (woodchuck). The record is from RNAcentral. Lineage: Eukaryota; Metazoa; Chordata; Mammalia; Rodentia; Sciuridae.